GAUCUACUCCCUCCAUCCCAAAAUUCUNNNNUUAGAUUUGUCUAGAUAUGAAUGUAUCUAGUCACGUUUUAGUAUUUAGAUAAAUCCAUUUCUAAACAAACCUAAGACAAUAAUUUUAGGACGGAGGGAGUAGUUG
Hordeum vulgare subsp. vulgare (domesticated barley) is the source of this 136-nucleotide non-coding RNA. The record is from Rfam. NCBI's taxonomy places the organism in Eukaryota, Viridiplantae, Streptophyta, Magnoliopsida, Poales, Poaceae.